UACGUAGGGUGCGAGCGUUGUCCGGAAUUACUGGGCGUAAAGCGUGCGCAGGCGGUUUUGUAAGCCAGAUGUGAAAGCCCCGGGCUUAACCUGGGAAUGGCAUUUGGGACUGCAAGGCUGGAGUGUGGCAGAGGAGACUGGAAUUCCUGGUGUAGCAGUGAAAUGCGUAGAUAUCAGGAGGAAUACCGAUGGCGAAGGCAGGUCUCUGGGCUGACACUGACGCUCAUGCACGAAAGCGUGGGGAGCAAACAGG
RNAcentral lists this ribosomal RNA (253 nucleotides) under uncultured bacterium. RNAcentral's name for it is "partial 16S ribosomal RNA". It matches the Rfam family "Bacterial small subunit ribosomal RNA", at positions 524 to 776 of the family's 1533-position model. The record is from RNAcentral.